Molecule: small RNA, 605 nt
Filed under: Pongo abelii (Sumatran orangutan)
Lineage: Eukaryota; Metazoa; Chordata; Mammalia; Primates; Hominidae
Description: processed transcript
Source: RNAcentral
GCCUGUCGCCAUGGCUGGUGGAGGAGACCUUCACCAUAGAUGAAGUCUCUGAAGUCCUCAAUGGAUUACAAGCUGUGGUUCAUAGCGAGGUGGAAUCUGAGCUCAUCAACACUGCCUAUACCAAUGUGUUACUUCUGCGACAGCUGUUUGCACAAGCUGAGAAGUGGUAUCUUAAGCUACAGACAGACAUCUCUGAACUUGAAAACCGAGAAUUAUUAGAACAAGUUGCAGAAUUUGAAAAAGCAGAGAUUACAUCUUCAAACAAAAAGGAUUUUAUAAAGGCCCAAGACUUGAGUAACUUGGAAAACACUGUCGCUGCUUUAAAGAGUGAGUUUCAGAAGACACUUAAUGACAAGACAGAAAACCAGAAGUCACUGGAGGAGAAUCUGGCAACAGCCAAGCACGAUCUACUCAGGGUUCAGGAGCAGCUGCACAUGGCUGAAAAGGAAUUAGAAAAGAAAUUUCAGCAAACAGCAGCUUAUCGAAACAUGAAAGAGAUUCUUACCAAGAAGAAUGACCAAAUCAAAGAUCUGAGGAAAAGACUGGCACAAUAUGAACCUGAAGAUUAAAACUGAAGAUUUCAUCGGGAAGCUACAACAUGCAAA